UGACCCAUCUCUCUCUCUGCUCGACACUGAUAACCCCUCUCUCCCCAAAUUUUUGAAGGUAAAUCACUAAUCACUCAGCUCUCUCUCUUUCUUCUCAUACUGUAAGGUUUUUUUUUUCCUUUUCUGUUUAAUUUUUUCGUUCAUCUGAAAGCUCAAAUAGAAUCUCUUUCAAUUCGCUCAAGCCGUGGCCCUCUUCCAUCAAUCCCAGUACUGUCGACGACUUCUCCAGAAGCCUAUCAGCAACGUUUGAGGAAUGGCGUCAAAGUCAACCCGAUUCCGAGGAUGGUAGCUCAACCCAAGUAUCACUCAAUGAUGUAGCUUCAAUAUGGACGCAGGUGGUUGGUGGCGCAAAGAAAGGUAGAACCUACGGUCUUUGAUCACAAUAUUAUGUAGGUCGUUCUACGACAUUGUUGUCUGGUGAUGCGAGUGAUUCGCAAGAUCAUGAAGAGGUGGAAGCAUUACGUAUAGAAGUUGUAGAGUUGAAGGAGGAACGGAAAGAAGAUCGCGCAAAUUUUAACAAAUUGCAGAGUCUAGUGGAGAAAUUUUUGAGCGGACGUCCAUUUGGUCCUUUGAAUGGCGAGGAUGGCGGGGAUAAUGAGUUUUAGUUUGUUAUGGUUGUGAUGUUUGAGAUAUUAUUAUUUGUUGUAGUUGGAUGUUUAGACUUGGUAAUAUUUGCACUUGACUAUGAUUGUAAUAUUUUAGACUAGAUUGAAUGGUGCCAGAAUGUUCAACUCU
Molecule: long non-coding RNA, 735 nt
Organism: Nicotiana attenuata
Lineage: Eukaryota; Viridiplantae; Streptophyta; Magnoliopsida; Solanales; Solanaceae
Exons: 2
Source: RefSeq, a predicted model, not a curated record